GUGAAUCUUCAAAGUCGGCUCCUCGUACUGUGCUGGUGGAGACACAUGUGCACGUCGGCGAGUCGCAAACCCACACACCUGUGCAUCUAUGACUCUGAGCGCCGCCUUGCAUGGCCUUGACCGGCCUGGCGUUCGAGUACUUUCACACACUCUGGAAUGUAACGGAAUGUCUUGUUGUGCGAUAAUGUACAAAAGAAA
This 198-nucleotide unclassified non-coding RNA is filed under the name uncultured Sebacinales. RNAcentral describes it as "sequence contains ITS1". Lineage: Eukaryota; Fungi; Basidiomycota; Agaricomycetes; Sebacinales. The record is from RNAcentral.